Eurytemora carolleeae is the source of this 318-nucleotide long non-coding RNA. RefSeq lists it as uncharacterized. The record is from RefSeq and is a predicted model, not a curated record. The transcript has 3 exons. NCBI's taxonomy places the organism in Eukaryota, Metazoa, Arthropoda, Copepoda, Calanoida, Temoridae.
AAAAACAAUUAUGUGUUUUGGUAAACUCUAUUUCAAGUUAAAAUCAUAUCAGAGUUACAGCUCUGUGGAUAUACAAGAUGUUUUCCAUCCUAUUUGCCUUGGUACAAGUUGGAGUAUGUUUUGCCUUUAGAUUUAGUUAAGAAGAAUAUAAUCCAUAUGUUAAUUCUAUAAUGGCCUGGAUUUACCUCAAUCAAUACUUAAUAUUAUAUUUUAGUUUAGAAGAAUAUAAUCCGUAUGUUAAUCCUAUAAUGACCUGGAUACACCUCAAUACUUAAUAUUAUAUUUUAGUUAAGAUGAAUAUAAUCCGUAUGUUAAUCC